GAAAUGUUAAGCCCUAUAAUAAAAACGAGAGAACAAUGAGAGUCUGGAAUCUCUGGGAAGAGGGAAGGAGCUCCUCACUCAUCUUCCUUGUCUACCCCAACACGGUGGCUCGUGUCCAGGACACCCCGGGGCAGAAGCUGGAGCAAUGCGAGAAGUGCUGUGUGGCCCAAAGGACAGAUGUACGUAUGCUGUGUCAGGGAAGUCUCUGGAGACUUCCUUCGUUAGUGGAUCCCACACUGGAUCCUCGGGUCUCUGGGAAAUGAUGGGGCUAGAGGUACAAGGCUUGGGAGCUGGGAAAUGAGGAGCAUAACUUACCGGCAUUGUGAGGUGAGAGCAUUCGUGACUUUUCAUUUUAACUUCUCGUUGUUUCUCAUUGUCAAGUGUCCCUCUUUCUUAUUUUUGUCUUGGUGCUUACAAGGAAAGACGUCAGUUUUCAUAAGCUUUCAAAGAUUUACAAUAUUUUUUAAAAACUGCCUUUCAGGAUUAGCAUUCAAGGCCUCAAACACCAUAUCUAUCAAUCAUAAACCGUACCCUCAAACCCAGCUCUGGCGAUAUCAUCUUAAAUCACUGCAGGUCCUACCUGUGGAAACCUUAUUGUGCACAGUGACAGCCGUUCCACGUUCCACAGGGCCAAGUGUUACACAGCAACUGAGCGGAGCUCCGCAGAGUAAAACCAGCCAUAUUGCUACAAAGAAAAAUUUCUGGCUCGUGGCCCAACUGUUUCCAUACCAAUCAGCUAAGUCAACCUUCUCUCUGCUUCUUUCCAUUUCAAAUGCUUGGGCUUCAGCCUCUGAGGCAAUUAGAACCAGAUCAGUUUAA
This 819-nucleotide long non-coding RNA is filed under the name Canis lupus familiaris (dog). Its description in RNAcentral is "lncRNA (ENSCAFG00030011684.1)". Lineage: Eukaryota; Metazoa; Chordata; Mammalia; Carnivora; Canidae. The record is from RNAcentral.